Molecule: RNA transcript, 1407 nt
Organism: Andrographis paniculata
Lineage: Eukaryota; Viridiplantae; Streptophyta; Magnoliopsida; Lamiales; Acanthaceae
Gene name: nudix hydrolase 9
Exons: 10
Source: RefSeq, a predicted model, not a curated record
AUGACUUAAAAAAAAAAAAAAAAAAAAUCCUGCCGGAGCGAGCGUUGUGGAGAUCAUGGAGCACAGAUCCGGCGGCGAUGGCACAGAUUCUCAGGCAUACAGGCUACUUCUUUCAUGUCCAUCUGGUCUUUCCCCGUCCCAGUUGUCGGUGCGAUUUGAUCCGAUCUAUGAUAGGAUUCCCCAUCCGGAUUAUAGCUUGGAGAGCUCCAUUUCUGAGAUAUGGGAUAGGAGAGUUCUUCAAAAUCCGUCUUUGUACAAUGGAUUGAAGUUCAGGUAUGGUGGACACACUUUCGGUGACGGGGCCAAUCCUGGUCAGAAGAAUGAUACUUGUCUUCACCUUGGCUUGACAGAUUAUAGGACAUUUGUGGGGACAAAUUUGAAUCCUCUUUGGGAAAGAUUCCUUGCUCCGACUGAAGAUGAUGCAACAAAAUGCCAACAUACAUCUAAUCCUCUUGGUAAUGGUGCUAUUGUGGAAACAUCCGACAAAGAGAUUGUUGUGCUACAAAGAAGUACCAAUGUUGGUGAAUUUCCUGGACACUUUGUUUUCCCAGGUGGCCAUCCUGAGCCAGAAGAAGUUGGCAUAACAAGUCAUGACAAUGCUAAAGAAUUAACCCAUCAGUUAGUCAACAGAAAGGUUUCUCAAGAAAUGUUCGAUAGUAUUAUUCGUGAAGUAGUUGAAGAAGUUGGAGUUCCUGCCAAUACCCUGGAUACACCAGUGUUUAUUGGGAUAUCCCAGCGGGUGCUGAACGUUAGACCGACAGCUUUCUUUUACAUUAAAUGCAGUCUUCAAUCAAAGAAGAUUCAACAACACUAUCGUGGUGCUCAAGAUGGCUUCGAAUCCACUCAGAUCUAUACUAUGCCAAUGAUCGAGGUGGCUGCAGCUGCGCGUAAAAUGCCUGGAUGUCAUGAAGGUGGCUUUGCAUUGUAUAAGUUGAUGCUUGAUGCUGUCGGAGAAAAGUGAAAGAUUAUAUCCACUGCUGAAUCAAGAUCGAUCGUUCCUUUCUGUUUUUUUUCCAGGCAUCGAAAAUUUGAUCCUGUGACCUCAUGAUUACAAAUUGUGGAUCAUGUGGAAUUAGUCCUCCGAUACCAAAGCUGCUUGCUUGGUGCCAUCGUGGCCUACCGGAGAUGAUGUGUUGCACAUGUGGCCAUGCUAUUAGUGCCACGUGUAAUACUUUAAAUUUAUUCAUUUCUUAUUAUCUUUUUAAUGAGGCGAAACAUAUUGUAUUUGUUUAUUAUAGCCCCAACAAUUGACCUUGAACAAAGCAUUUGAUUUACCAAUAAGUAUAGUUGCAAUUGUAUAAUAACUUCUCUUGCUAGGGGCAUUGACUCGACAAUGUUCGAUAUAUUAUCCUCGUAAUCUAACUUUGUAGAAGCAUACGCAAUCUUUUUAACGACAGAUUCCUAUGU